GACGAACGCUGGCGGCGUGCUUAACACAUGCAAGUCGAACGAAGAGCGAUGGAAGCUUGCUUCUAUCAAUCUUAGUGGCGAACGGGUGAGUAACGCGUAAUCAACCUGCCCUUCAGAGGGGGACAACAGUUGGAAACGACCGCUAAUACCGCAUACGAUCUAAUCUCGGCAUCGAGGAUAGAUGAAAGGUGGCCUCUACAUGUAAGCUAUCACUGAAGGAGGGGAUUGCGUCUGAUUAGCUAGUUGGAGGGGUAACGGCCCACCAAGGCGAUGAUCAGUAGCCGGUCUGAGAGGAUGAACGGCCACAUUGGGACUGAGACACGGCCCAGACUCCUACGGGAGGCAGCAGUGGGGAAUCUUCCGCAAUGGACGAAAGUCUGACGGAGCAACGCCGCGUGAGUGAUGACGGCCUUCGGGUUGUAAAGCUCUGUUAAUCGGGACGAAAGGCCUUCUUGCGAAUAGUGAGAAGGAUUGACGGUACCGGAAUAGAAAGCCACGGCUAACUACGUG
RNAcentral lists this ribosomal RNA (510 nucleotides) under uncultured bacterium. Its description in RNAcentral is "partial 16S ribosomal RNA". It matches the Rfam family "Bacterial small subunit ribosomal RNA", at positions 28 to 507 of the family's 1533-position model. The record is from RNAcentral.